This 445-nucleotide ribosomal RNA is filed under the name uncultured bacterium. RNAcentral describes it as "bacterial SSU rRNA". It matches the Rfam family "Bacterial small subunit ribosomal RNA", at positions 29 to 521 of the family's 1533-position model. The record is from RNAcentral.
AACGAACGCUGGCGGCAUGCCUAACACAUGCAAGUCGAACGAGACCUUCGGGUCUAGUGGCGCACGGGUGCGUAACGCGUGGGAAUCUGCCCUUGGGUUCGGAAUAACAGUUAGAAAUGACUGCUAAUACCGGAUAAUGUCUUCGGACCAAAGAUUUAUCGCCCAGGGAUGAGCCCGCGUAGGAUUAGCUAGUUGGUGAGGUAAAGGCUCACCAAGGCGACGAUCCUUAGCUGGUCUGAGAGGAUGAUCAGCCACACUGGGACUGAGACACGGCCCAGACUCCUACGGGAGGCAGCAGUGGGAAUAUUGGACAAUGGCGAAAGCCUGAUCCAGCAAUGCCGCGUGAGUGAUGAAGGCCUUAGGGUUGUAAAGCUCUUUUACCCGGGAUGAUAAUGACAGUACCGGGAGAAUAAGCCCCGGCUAACUCCGUGCCAGCAGCCGCGGU